AUGUAUAUAAAUCUUCUGUACGUGCAUGUUCCCCACAGCGAGCUCAGACAUGUUUUUGCGCUCCUGAUUUUUAUGUGGUAUAUUAUGUGUACAUGUGCACGUUGCUUCUCCUUUGAUGAUGCACUCACUCUGGCUUCUAUUUUCAAAACCAUUUCUCUUGCCAGUCCUUCAAAGUCCCUCAAAAAGUCAGCGGAUUCUCGCCCUUUGGGUUUGCUUAGCCAUACUAUGAAGAUGCUCUGUUCAACUUGGCCUUUGUGUGAUGAACAUCAAAUCAUUGAUGCAUUUGUAUCUCCUUUGGCUGGAUACAGAGUUCCAUAUUCCGAGAAGAAGGGCUUAAAUGAUGUAUGUGAAUAA
This 354-nucleotide ribosomal RNA is filed under the name Triticum aestivum (bread wheat). RNAcentral's name for it is "partial small subunit ribosomal RNA". The record is from RNAcentral. Lineage: Eukaryota; Viridiplantae; Streptophyta; Magnoliopsida; Poales; Poaceae.